Long non-coding RNA from Rhinichthys klamathensis goyatoka, 1188 nucleotides. RefSeq lists it as uncharacterized. The transcript is spliced from 3 exons. The record is from RefSeq and is a predicted model, not a curated record. Lineage: Eukaryota; Metazoa; Chordata; Actinopteri; Cypriniformes; Leuciscidae.
UCUGACAGCACUUCUGUAUCAGACGGCCCACUAUGUGCAGCUGAAUUUACAGUCUGUCCCACCACCACUGGCCUGCACGAGUGAGCCACAGAGAUGGCAUCGUCCAAGAACACAGGCAUUCCAUCCAGAGGCAGUGAGUGAACUUGUUGUCCUGAAGCCAAAGUCAGCUGGGAAGACUGGAAUCAAGUCUACUCUAUACAGGGCUUACACAGGUCCCCUUCCAGAUUCUGAUGUAUUGGCUUCUGGUACCAAACUGAGUCAGAUCCAUCCCCGGCCUUUGCUGGCACACAUACUAGAGGGCAUGUCAAAAAUAGAGUUGGUCCCCUCACAGUUUGGUCCUGUACCUCGUGGUAGUCCACUUUCAUACCAAUGUCCCCCUAUAGCUGUAGAUAUUCCUGUUGUUAAUUUCCCCCCACUACCUGUGCUUGGCUAUCAGUUUGGUUGUAAUUUUAAAUAUGUGCCCACACACCAUCAAUCACUUCAUCUGGAGUCUAUAAAGGUUACCCAUUAUUCCGCUUGUCAGAUUGAAGAGGCCACAAGACUACAGUCAAAAUGUACUGCUUGGAGACAAAUGCGGCAAUCAAGGGUUACUGCAAGCAGGUUCCGGGAGGUUAGUCAUGUAGUUGGGGAUUCAACUGGUCAGUCAUUAGCGGCAAGAAUCAUCAAGGGCACGAGGCAGACAAGUGCUAUGAAACGUGGCCUUGAACUUGAGCCAGAUAUUUUGAGAAAAUAUUCUGAGAUAGCCAGUGUUAGUGUCCUACCUUGUGGUUUUAUUAUCAACCCAGAAGCACCACAUCUAGGAGCCAGUCCAGAUGGACGAGUGCAUGAUCCAUCUGAAACCUUCCAAUUUGGACUAGUGGAAGUAAAAAGCACAUCUGCUGAUAACAUUGCCCAGGUUCCAUUUAUCAAACUUCAAAGAGGACAAGCCAAACUCAAAGAGACCCACAAGUACUACUGGCAGGUUCAAGGCCAGCUUGCAGUGACUGGUCUACAGUGGUGUGACUUUGUGACUGACACAAAAUCAGAUUUCACAAUACAGAGGAUCUGGCGAGAUGAUGCCUUCAUAGCAUCAAUGAAAGACAAGCUAGACAUGUACUAUUAUUAUGUUUACAUGGAUGUGUAUCUUUCAGUGGUAUAAAUGUACGGUAACACUUUACUUGAAUGGGUGUGCGUAAGACUGACAUGACU